GCGGCGUGCCUAACACAUGCAAUUCGAACGGGGUGAGGCCCUUCGGGACCUUUACCUAGUGGCGAACGGGUGAGUAACGCGUGAGGAACCUGCCUUUCAGUGGGGGACAACAGUUGGAAACGACUGCUAAUACCGCAUGAAGCUUUUGGGAGACAUCUCCUGGGAGCCAAAGCUUAAUGUGCUGAAAGAUGGCCUCGCGUCUGAUUAGCUAGUUGGUGGGGUAACGGCCCACCAAGGCGACGAUCAGUAGCCGGUCUGAGAGGAUGAACGGCCACAUUGGGACUGAGAUACGGCCCAGACUCCUACGGGAGGCAGCAGUGGGGAAUAUUGGGCAAUGGGCGAAAGCCUGACCCAGCAACGCCGCGUGAAGGAAGAAGGCCUUCGGGUUGUAAACUUCUUUUACCAGGGACGAAGGACGUGACGGUACCUGGAGAAAAAGCAACGGCUAACUACGUGCCAGCAGCCGCGGUAAUACGUAGGUUGCAAGCGUUGUCCGGAUUUACUGGGUGUAAAGGGCGUGUAGGCGGAGAUGCAAGUUAGGAGUGAAAUCUAUGGGCUCAACCCAUAAACUGCUUCUAAAACUGUAUCCCUUGAGUAUCGGAGAGGCAAGCGGAAUUCCUAGUGUAGCGGUGAAAUGCGUAGAUAUUAGGAGGAACACCAGUGGCGAAGGCGGCUUGCUGGACGACAACUGACGCUGAGGCGCGAAAGCGUGGGGAGCAAACAGGAUUAGAUACCCUGGUAGUCCACGCUGUAAACGAUGAAUACUAGGUGUGGGGGGACUGACCCCCUCCGUGCCGCAGUUAACACAAUAAGUAUUCCACCUGGGGAGUACGACAACAAGGUUGAAACUCAAAGGAAUUGACGG
RNAcentral lists this ribosomal RNA (865 nucleotides) under uncultured bacterium. RNAcentral describes it as "bacterial SSU rRNA". It matches the Rfam family "Bacterial small subunit ribosomal RNA", at positions 39 to 916 of the family's 1533-position model. The record is from RNAcentral.